AUUGAACGCUGGCGGCAUGCUUUACACAUGCAAGUCGAACGGUAACAGGUUAAGCUGACGAGUGGCGAACGGGUGAGUAAUGCAUCGGAACGUGCCCGAUCGUGGGGAUAACUACUCGAAGAGUGGCUAAUACCGCAUACGAUCUACGGAUGAAAGCGGGGGACCUUCGGGCCUCGCGCGAUUGGAGCGGCCGAUAUCAGAUUAGGUAGUUGGUAGGGUAAAAGCCUACCAAGCCUGCGAUCUGUAGCUGGUCUGAGAGGACGACCAGCCACACUGGAACUGAGACACGGUCCAGACUCCUACGGGAGGCAGCAGUGGGGAAUUUUGGACAAUGGGCGAAAGCCUGAUCCAGCAAUGCCGCGUGCAGGACGAAGGCCUUCGGGUUGUAACUGCUUUGUACGGAACGAAAAGGUAGCUCCUAAUACGAGCUGCUGAUGACGGUACCGUAAGAAUAAGCACCGGCUAACUACGUGCCAGCAGCCG
RNAcentral lists this ribosomal RNA (483 nucleotides) under uncultured bacterium. RNAcentral's name for it is "bacterial SSU rRNA". It matches the Rfam family "Bacterial small subunit ribosomal RNA", at positions 30 to 517 of the family's 1533-position model. The record is from RNAcentral.